This 70-nucleotide transfer RNA is filed under the name Narcine timlei (blackspotted numbfish). Its description in RNAcentral is "tRNA-Thr". It matches the Rfam family "tRNA". From Rfam's summary of the family: Transfer RNA (tRNA) molecules are approximately 80 nucleotides in length. Their secondary structure includes four short double-helical elements and three loops (D, anti-codon, and T loops). Further hydrogen bonds mediate the characteristic L-shaped molecular structure. tRNAs have two regions of fundamental functional importance: the anti-codon, which is responsible for specific mRNA codon recognition, and the 3' end, to which the tRNAs corresponding amino acid is attached (by aminoacyl-tRNA synthetases). tRNAs cope with the degeneracy of the genetic code in two manners: having more than one tRNA (with a specific anti-codon) for a particular amino acid; and 'wobble' base-pairing, i.e. permitting non-standard base-pairing at the 3rd anti-codon position. The record is from RNAcentral. Lineage: Eukaryota; Metazoa; Chordata; Chondrichthyes; Torpediniformes; Narcinidae.
GUUCUAGUAGCCUAACGAAGGCAUUGGUCUUGUAAACCAAAGAGUGGAAGUGAAAAUCAUCCCUAAAACA